This 239-nucleotide long non-coding RNA is filed under the name Elaeis guineensis (African oil palm). Its description in RNAcentral is "long non-coding RNA (EGUI_LNC075874)". The record is from RNAcentral. Lineage: Eukaryota; Viridiplantae; Streptophyta; Magnoliopsida; Arecales; Arecaceae.
AGCCUGUUGUGGUUGUGCUCUUUAUUGUAUUAGUACAUGAAUCAUAAAUAAAUAAAAAUUAUUUUGAAAUUUUUCAUCACAAAUUGUCAUCUUCUAAUGAACUCCUGUGUUGUGGUGAAGUCCUUAGGACUAUUUAAACUCGACAAAGAAGGAUUUGUUGUUUAGUCCUUAAACCUGUUCGCGACCAAAUGAUAUGUUGUUACCAAGGACAACAAUGUUUAUCGAGCAUAGGUCAUUGU